RNAcentral lists this ribosomal RNA (484 nucleotides) under uncultured bacterium. RNAcentral describes it as "partial 16S ribosomal RNA". It matches the Rfam family "Bacterial small subunit ribosomal RNA", at positions 29 to 507 of the family's 1533-position model. The record is from RNAcentral.
AUUGAACGCUGGCGGCAUGCUUUACACAUGCAAGUCGAACGGCAGCGCGGGCUUCGGCCUGGCGGCGAGUGGCGAACGGGCGAGUAAUGCAUCGGAACGUGCCCAGUUGUGGGGGAUAGCCCGGCGAAAGCCGGAUUAAUACCGCAUAAGACCAGAGGGUGAAAGCGGGGGACCGAAAGGCCUUGCGCUAUUGGACCGGCCGAUGUCGGAUUAGCUAGUUGGUGGGGUAAAGGCUUACCAAGGCGACGAUCCGUAGCUGGUCUGAGAGGACGACCAGCCACACUGGAACUGAGACACGGCCCAGACUCCUACGGGAGGCAGCAGUGGGGAAUUUUGGACAAUGGGGGCAACCCUGAUCCAGCCAUGCCGCGUGGGGGAAGAAGGCCUUCGGGUUGUAAACCGCUUUUGUUCGGGAAGAAAACCUGUGGGCUAAUACCCCGGGGUGAUGACGGUACCGAAAGAAUAAGCACCGGCUAACUACGUG